Long non-coding RNA from Salmo salar (Atlantic salmon), 287 nucleotides. RefSeq lists it as uncharacterized. Lineage: Eukaryota; Metazoa; Chordata; Actinopteri; Salmoniformes; Salmonidae. The record is from RefSeq and is a predicted model, not a curated record.
AAACACACAUUUUUGGAAGCAGAUAACAAAACACCAGCAUAGCUUGUGUGCUGCAGCUCAUUCAAGAUGGCUGUGCCUGUCUACCUUUUAAGCAUGGUUCUGUUUUGCCUGUUAAGUGUGGCAGUAAACUGCAUGUUUUCCAAGAGGCUGCAGUUAUGGCAAUGCUGAGAGCGGCCAGCGUCUCACUGAGGAUACCCAAUACUACAGAGCUGCACGUUACCCCAGCCAGCAUGGCCAGGUCCACAGUUCCUCAGCCUGGAGUAGCACUUAAAAAAAAAAAUAUAUAU